RNAcentral lists this ribosomal RNA (481 nucleotides) under uncultured bacterium. RNAcentral describes it as "bacterial SSU rRNA". It matches the Rfam family "Bacterial small subunit ribosomal RNA", at positions 30 to 501 of the family's 1533-position model. The record is from RNAcentral.
AUUGAACGCUGGCGGCAUGCCUAACACAUGCAAGUCGAACGGUAACGCGAGGAGCUUGCUCCUUGGCGACGAGUGGCGGACGGGUGAGUAAUACUUAGGAAUCUGCCCAGUAGUGGGGGACAACCAGGAGAAAUUCUGGCUAAUACCGCAUACGCACUACGGUGGAAAGUGGGGGACCUUCGGGCCUCACGCUAUUGGAUGAGCCUAAGUCGGAUUAGCUUGUAGGUAGGGUAAUGGCCUACCUAGGCGACGAUCCGUAGCUGGUCUGAGAGGACGAUCAGCCACACUGGGACUGAGACACGGCCCAGACUCCUACGGGAGGCAGCAGUGGGAAUAUUGGACAAUGGGGGCAACCCUGAUCCAGCAAUGCCGCGUGUGUGAAGAAGGCCUGCGGGUUGUAAAGCACUUUCAGUAGAGAAGAAAAGCCUAGGGUUAAUAACCCUGAGUCUUGACGUAACCUACAGAAGAAGCACCGGCUAAC